Heterocephalus glaber (naked mole-rat) is the source of this 1225-nucleotide non-coding RNA. The record is from RefSeq and is a predicted model, not a curated record. NCBI's taxonomy places the organism in Eukaryota, Metazoa, Chordata, Mammalia, Rodentia, Bathyergidae.
UGCCAAGGAUUAAAGUAUAUUAUUUUAUUUACUCUGUCAAUGUUUAUCAAACAUCUGCUUCAUUUUCCAGCUACCAUUCUAGGCACUGAGAACUCAGAAGCAAGCAAAACAAUCCUGCCCUUGUGGAGUUUACAUUCUAUAAAGUUAAACUGUGAGCAAAUAAUAGAAAUUUGUGAGGUGACAAUACAGAACAUUCCGAACAUCAAGAUAGAUAGGGAACAAACAAAGUAGGCCAAAGGAGUUGAGGAGCCAGAGGCAGGCACAGUUGUUGUGUGCUGGAUAGGCCAUGUGAUCAGGCCUCUUUAAUGACCUGACAUUUGAGCAGAGCGAGCCAGGAAGGCCCAAGGGGAAACAUCCCUGGAGAACAGGCCUGAAGCCAAGGCCCUGGGCCAAGAGUGGGCAUGGAGUGAGGAACAGCAGAGGCCAGCCUGUGCCCUGAGGGAGGAGGAAAGAGAGGACGGAGACCAAGCAGAGUCCUUCAGAGCAGGAUAGGUGCAGUAGGGACGAUAGUAUAAAUUCAGCUUGAUCGCAGUGCUAAUAAUAGCACCAAUGUGAAGAGUGUCCGCUAGGGUUAUAUUAAAUCCCUGCCUGUGGUGAGCAGACUUGAAAGGAGAGGCUCAGACACCUAACCAGAACCAGAACCAACAACGACCCAGUUCAGCCAGAUAAGCGCACCAGCAGGAAGCAGCUGUUAUUUUCGGCAGGUCCCACUGAGAGCAUCAUUCUCCACAUCCAGACAGCCAUACUCAUCUUGCCAUCUAACCAGUUCUAAGGAGGCAGCACCAAGGACAAUCAUCAACAGAUGAGGCCACAUCUCAAAACAGAGGGGAGAGUCCUUUCACAGAUUUUGUUACUGGCUCCUUACAACAAGCCUGAACCUUGGGAAAGGUUCUAGCAUUACAAUUUGAAAAAUGAGGAAACAGGCUCACAGCAGUGAAAGCUACCCAAGGCCCAGGUAUACAAGAGGCUGGCCCAUGAUCACAUCUCACACUGUCACACCCAUCUCCCUGAAGAGUCCAACGUUAAAAGUCUCUCAUGGAUUAACAUUCCUUUCUGCUAUUGGGGAGCAACUCCUAAGGCCUUUCUAUGAAAUGACUUGAAGUUCUGCUGAAGCACAAAUUUUGACCCUACAAUGUAAACAGCAAGAUGAGGAAGCAAGCAAUUUAUAGUGUGCUUAGCACAGCUCCUGUGUAUUAAAAUGUCGUUAGCUGCUGGUCAUCUUAUA